This 153-nucleotide unclassified non-coding RNA is filed under the name uncultured fungus. Its description in RNAcentral is "sequence contains ITS1". Lineage: Eukaryota; Fungi. The record is from RNAcentral.
CCGCUUGCUUGCCGCCCCGCUUAAGGGGCUACAGCACGCAACCCUUGCCUAUGUAUACCGUUUGUUAUUCCUUCGGCGGGGUAAACCCGCCGCUAGGGACCAACCAAACCCUCUGUAUUAGAACGUCAACCUUCUGAAACAAACCAAUUAUUA